This 468-nucleotide ribosomal RNA is filed under the name uncultured bacterium. Its description in RNAcentral is "partial 16S ribosomal RNA". It matches the Rfam family "Bacterial small subunit ribosomal RNA", at positions 28 to 507 of the family's 1533-position model. The record is from RNAcentral.
GACGAACGCUGGCGGCGUGCUUAACACAUGCAAGUCGAACGGAAAGGCCCUGCUUUUGUGGGGUGCUCGAGUGGCGAACGGGUGAGUAACACGUGAGUAACCUGCCCUUGACUUUGGGAUAACUUCAGGAAACUGGGGCUAAUACCGGAUAGGAGCUCCUGCUGCAUGGUGGGGGUUGGAAAGUUUCGGCGGUUGGGGAUGGACUCGGGGCUUAUCAGCUUGUUGGUGGGGGAGUGGCUUACCAAGGCUUUGACGGGUGGCCGGCCUGAGAGGGUGGCCGGCCACCUUGGUACUGAGAUACGGCCCAGACUCCUACGGGAGGCAGAAGUGGGGAAUAUUGCACAAUGGGCGGAAGCCUGAUGAAGCAACGCCGCGUGCGGGAUGACGGCCUUGGGGUUGUAAACCGCUUUCGCCUGUGACGAAGCGUGAGUGACGGUAAUGGGUAAAGAAGCACCGGCUAACUACGUG